GGGAUUAUACGUUGGUACUUUGUGGACCCUGCCAGUGGGGGUUGUGCGCUGGUAUUCUGUAGACCCUGCUAGUGGGGGUUGUGCACUGGUAUUUCUGGACCCUGCCAGUGGAGGUUGUGCGCUGGUAUUCUGUGGACCCCGCCAAUGGGGGUUAAACGUUGGUCAUAGUCGAGGCUGUUGAGUUACGAGUGUUUUGAAUCGAAUCGGAUUUAUGAUUAUAUUAUGUGUGAAUUUUUGACAAUAUUGGAUUUGCAUUAAAUCAGCAUGAAAUAUAUUUUUAUUUGUAGCAUUCUUCUUGAAAAUUAUAUAAUAUCUGAAUAUCUGGUAGAAAUAUUUGUUACUUACUGGGCUGUCUAGCUCAUUACAUUUCUUUCUAUUUUUCAGAUUCAGAUAACUAAUUUCGAGCAUGGGAAGAAAUAUUGGGACAGAGCUUUUAGAGGCGAGAUUAGCAUUGUUCAACUUCAAUGAACUUAGAUCUAUUAUUUUAUUGUUAGCAAAAAUUUUAUUGGAUGUAAGACAUUUGAUUUAAUUACUUAAAUUACAGUUGAAUAAUAAUUAUUUGAAUUUAUUCCGCUGCGAUGCAUUGAUAUCGUGAUGAGAUGCCUUGCAUGCUUAUGGA
This 619-nucleotide long non-coding RNA is filed under the name Elaeis guineensis (African oil palm). RNAcentral's name for it is "long non-coding RNA (EGUI_LNC025401)". Lineage: Eukaryota; Viridiplantae; Streptophyta; Magnoliopsida; Arecales; Arecaceae. The record is from RNAcentral.